This 231-nucleotide long non-coding RNA is filed under the name Chloebia gouldiae (Gouldian finch). RNAcentral describes it as "Erythrura gouldiae (Gouldian finch) lncRNA (ENSEGOG00005002472.1)". The record is from RNAcentral. Lineage: Eukaryota; Metazoa; Chordata; Aves; Passeriformes; Passeridae.
GUCAGUCUAGGAAGCUGGAACAGUCACUUUACUGGGCAAUUGUUUGCAGCAGCAGAGCUGUGUCUCAGAGGCAGUGGACCUCAUGGAAGAAAUCUCCCAGCACUUUUAAGAGUCUGCCAGCUGGAUAACACUGCAACAUCAGUAAUGUACAGUGUGCAGUCUACAAAGCAGAAGGAAGAGCCCAGACUUCAUUCAGCAGAUUACCACAAGUUUGAUGUCACAAGAGAAGAG